GACGAACGCUGGCGGCGUGCUUAACACAUGCAAGUCGAACGGAAAGGCCCUGCUUUUGUGGGGUGCUCGAGUGGCGAGCGGGUGAGUAACACGUGAGUAACCUGCCCUUGACUUUGGGAUAACUUCAGGAAACUGGGGCUAAUACCGGAUAGGAGCUCCUGCUGCAUGGUGGGGGUUGGAAAGUUUCGGCGGUUGGGGAUGGACUCGCGGCUUAUCAGCUUGUUGGUGGGGUAGUGGCUUACCAAGGCUUUGACGGGUAGCCGGCCUGAGAGGGUGACCGGGCACAUUGGGACUGAGAUACGGCCCAGACUCCUACGGGAGGCAGCAGUGGGGAAUAUUGCACAAUGGGCGGAAGCCUGAUGCAGCAACGCCGCGUGCGGGAUGACGGCCUUCGGGUUGUAAACCGCUUUCGCCUGUGACGAAGCGUGAGUGACGGUAAUGGGUAAAGAAGCACCGGCUAACUACGUG
This 468-nucleotide ribosomal RNA is filed under the name uncultured bacterium. RNAcentral's name for it is "partial 16S ribosomal RNA". It matches the Rfam family "Bacterial small subunit ribosomal RNA", at positions 28 to 507 of the family's 1533-position model. The record is from RNAcentral.